AGGGCGGUCAAUAGCGCGGGCCUGGCGGAGCGCGGCAACGCGCGGAGAUCGCGAGGCGACCGGGGCCAGCUGGGCCCCCGGCGGCGCGCCCCUCGGCCCAGCCGGGAGCCGCGCCAGUCGGAGCCCCUGGCCGAGGGCGGCCAGCCAGCUUCUCAGCGCCCAUCCCUCCGGAGAGCAGCCGGGGGGCAUGACCGACCCACCAGGGGCGCCGCCGCCGGCGCUCGCAGGCCGCGGGUGAAGAAGAAAGUCCGUACCCGCUCGGCCCGGAGCGAGGAGGCGCCACGAGACGAGGAGGCGCCCCAGAUCGAGGAGGCGCCCCCGGCCGAGGAGGUGACCCCAGACGUGAUCCAGGCGGAGGAGGUGACCGAGACCGAGGAAAUG
Molecule: non-coding RNA, 381 nt
Filed under: Oryctolagus cuniculus (rabbit)
Lineage: Eukaryota; Metazoa; Chordata; Mammalia; Lagomorpha; Leporidae
Description: Bag-1 internal ribosome entry site (IRES)
Rfam family: Bag-1 internal ribosome entry site (IRES)
About the family: This family represents the bag-1 internal ribosome entry site (IRES). When expressed the BAG-1 protein is known to enhance the anti-apoptotic properties of Bcl-2. Although bag-1 translation usually occurs via a cap-dependent mechanism it has been found to contain a IRES in its 5' UTR.
Source: Rfam by way of RNAcentral